GACGAACGCUGGCGGCGUGCUUAACACAUGCAAGUCGAACGGAAAGGCCCUGCUUGCAGGGUACUCGCGUGGCGAACGGGUGAGUAACACGUGGGUGUUCUGCCCUGCACUUCGGGAUAAGCCUUGGAAACUGGGUCUAAUACCGGAUAGGAGCCAUUUUUCGUGUGGUGGUUGGAAAGUUUUUUCGGUGUGGGAUGAGCUUGCGGCCUGUCAGCUUGUUGGUGGGGUAAUGGCCUACCAAGGCAGCGACGGGUAGCCGGCCUGGGAGGGUGGACGGGCACAUUGGGGCUGGGAUACGGCCCAGACUCCUACGGGAGGCAGCAGGGGGGAAUAUUGCACAAUGGGGGCGAGCCUGAUGCAGCGACGCCGCGUGGGGGAUGACGGCCUUCGGGUUGUAAACUCCUUUCGCUAGGGACGAAGCUGUGUGUGACGGUACCUAGAUAAGAAGCACCGGCUAACUACGUG
RNAcentral lists this ribosomal RNA (465 nucleotides) under uncultured bacterium. RNAcentral describes it as "partial 16S ribosomal RNA". It matches the Rfam family "Bacterial small subunit ribosomal RNA", at positions 28 to 507 of the family's 1533-position model. The record is from RNAcentral.